Molecule: ribosomal RNA, 1112 nt
Filed under: Fermentibacillus sp.
Lineage: Bacteria; Bacillati; Bacillota; Bacilli; Caryophanales; Bacillaceae
Description: bacterial SSU rRNA
Rfam family: Bacterial small subunit ribosomal RNA
Source: RNAcentral
UUCUUCCUUAACCGGGGGGAGGCAGCAAGUAGGGGAAUCUUCCCGCUCUAUGGACCGAAAGGUUCUGACGGAGCAACGCCGCGUGAGUGAUGAAAGGUUUUCGGAUCGUAAAAACUCUGUUGUUAGGGAAGAACAAGUGCCGUUCGAAAAGGGCGGCACCUUGACGGUACCUAACGAGAAAAGCCACGGCUAACUACGUGCCAGCAGCCGCGGUAAUACGUAGGUGGCAAGCGUUGUCCGGAAUUAUUGGGCGUAAAGCGCGCGCAGGCGGUCUCUUAAGUCUGAUGUGAAAGCCCCCGGCUCAACCGGGGAGGGUCAUUGGAAACUGGGAGACUUGAGUACAGAAGAGGAGAGUGGAAUUCCACGUGUAGCGGUGAAAUGCGUAGAGAUGUGGAGGAACACCAGUGGCGAAGGCGACUCUCUGGUCUGUAACUGACGCUGAGGCGCGAAAGCGUGGGGAGCAAACAGGAUUAGAUACCCUGGUAGUCCACGCCGUAAACGAUGAGUGCUAGGUGUUAGGGGUUUCGACGCCCUUAGUGCCGAAGUUAACACAUUAAGCACUCCGCCUGGGGAGUACGACCGCAAGGUUGAAACUCAAAGGAAUUGACGGGGGCCCGCACAAGCAGUGGAGCAUGUGGUUUAAUUCGAAGCAACGCGAAGAACCUUACCAGGUCUUGACAUCCUUUGACCACCCUAGAGAUAGGGCUUUCCCCUUCGGGGGACAAAGUGACAGGUGGUGCAUGGUUGUCGUCAGCUCGUGUCGUGAGAUGUUGGGUUAAGUCCCGCAACGAGCGCAACCCUUGACCUUAGUUGCCAGCAUUCAGUUGGGCACUCUAAGGUGACUGCCGGUGACAAACCGGAGGAAGGUGGGGAUGACGUCAAAUCAUCAUGCCCCCUUAUGACCUGGGCUACACACGUGCUACAAUGGAUGGUACAAAAGGGGUUGCGAAGCCGCUGAGGUGAAAGCCAAAUCCCAGGAAAAGCCAAUUCUCAGGUUCGGAUUGCAGGCUGCAAACUCCGCCUUGCAUGAAGGCCGGGAAGUUGCCUAGUAGUCCGCGGAUCAGCAAUGCUCGCGGACUGGUAGUACGAUUUCCCGGGGCCCGUUGCUACAC